Molecule: long non-coding RNA, 1551 nt
Organism: Leucoraja erinaceus (little skate)
Lineage: Eukaryota; Metazoa; Chordata; Chondrichthyes; Rajiformes; Rajidae
Exons: 3
Source: RefSeq, a predicted model, not a curated record
UGAGCAGGAUGAGAGGAGCGAGAUUGGCGGCGUCCGCCGGCUUUGCGUUUUGUUUGGCGAAUUGGCGAGUGUGGACAUUGGCAAGGCGACGCCUCGGUCCUGCCUCCAGCCUCCUCCCAGCCUAUCAGCUCCUGCACGCCGCCAUCCCUGCACCGUAGAGCAGCCCCGCACGGUCAACACUCCGCGGCCGCGACCCGGCGCCGCUCCCUGCCCCGGCAGCCGCGCUGCGCUGCGCUACUAGGCGAGGGUCAGAAUCUAUCCACCACACCCACCACCCCCGUCUCAGUUCACCACUAUCUGAUGUUGGAAGAAACUGCAGAUGCUGCUUUAAAGACAAAAUGCUGGAGUAACGCAGCGGGGCUGGGCAGCAUCUCUGGAGAGAAGGAAUGGGUGAGGUUUGGGGUCGAGACACUUCAGACUGAGAGUCAGGGGAGAGGGAGACACAGAGAUAUGGAAGCGUAAGUGAGCCGGGGGCCUUGCCUGCAGAACUGUCAACAAAAUGAAUACACAGACUGGACGACGUUGCGGAUGUAAAGUUAUGCAAAUCACAGGAGCUGCAGAGAACAAAAGAUGAUUCACCAAUCAAAACUAAUUGAAAGAAAAAAAUAAAAUAUUGGGCUUUAUCUCCAAGGAACUGAAGUGCAACAAGGAAGAUUGUAUCCUUCGAUUUGAUUGAUUCUUAAUUGGACUGCAUCAGAUUAUUGUAUUUGAGACCACUCCGUAUACUGGAUAUUAAGGUGUUAAUGAAUAACUUUAUAUAAAAAAGGGGCUGAAUCAACUUGAUCUGUACUCCCUUCUGCAUGCAACACCCAGAGAUGAUCUAACCAAUGAACAAAGAUGGCUCAUCAUGCCCUAGUCUCACUGUUGCAAUCAGGCAAGAGGUACAGGAGCCUGAAGUCACACAAUACCAGGUUCAGGAUCAGUAAUUUUCCUACAAUUAUCAGGAUUUUGAGCCAACCUGCACAACCUGAAUCCUACCAUAACAACGGAACUCUAGGGACCACCUCUGGCACUACCAUGGACGUUAUUUGUUUCUAAAUUGUGUUUUGCGCGGAUGCCUUCUUUUUGCACUUCUUUCAUCUUUACUAUCUAACAGAAAUUUAAGUGUAACUCGUGAAAUGUAUUUAUAAUUUAUGUUUUUGUGUGUGAAUAUCUGCGUUUGUAUGCCUUGCCGACAAUGCUGCUGCAAGCAAGAUUUUACUUGUACCUGUACAACACCGUACUAGUGUACAUGACAAUAAACUCAACGUGACUUGAUAAACUUAGUUUAAUGAAGAUUGAAACUGUAUCCUCUGAUGAAAGGAUUCAUGGCAGAAAAGGGCAAUAAUGCCCUUCCUCAAAUUAGGAAACCAAAUCGCACACAAAACCCCAAGUGAGGUCUCACCAGGGCCUUGUCCAGUUUCAGUAGACCUCCUUGUUCCUAAACACAAAUCCUCGCGCAGUGAAGCCCUGAUCAUGGCUAAUCUCAACUCUUCAGUUCCUUCGAACCAAGGUAACCUUUCACCCGGAUGAAUGAUCCCGACAUGAAAUGUUGUCUAUACAUGUUCUCCA